This is a long non-coding RNA of Asparagus officinalis (garden asparagus), 2521 nucleotides long. RefSeq lists it as uncharacterized. The transcript has 2 exons. The record is from RefSeq and is a predicted model, not a curated record. NCBI's taxonomy places the organism in Eukaryota, Viridiplantae, Streptophyta, Magnoliopsida, Asparagales, Asparagaceae.
ACCCGACCCGUUAUAUGAAAACCCAAAAACUUGAAAACCCUAAUGAUGUAUGUACCCAAUUUGAGACCCGUAACCCUGAGAGCUCUCUUCCCUCCUCCGCCGGCGGCGCUUUGGUUGGUUAGGGUUUGAUUUUUUGUUGAAAUUGAUUUCAAUUUAGUUCACAUAUCGUUUUGAUAUUUUUUCAAUUGAUUUUUGUUAUUGAUCACACAUUGGGUAUCAUGGAUUAAGGUAUGUUCUUUAAUUUAUUAUUCACGAGUCACAUUUUAUUGCCCGUAGACCCAAUGUAGUUUGGUUUUAGCAGGUAGACCCUCGGAGUGAAAUUUCUUUUCGCUCUUUUUCUCCGAGGAAGAAAAAAUUGUUUUUUUUUUUGGCAAAUACAACCCCCCUAAGAGAAAAGAGUCAAAAAAAAAUUCUCACUCAAGUGGUCUAUCUGCUAAAAUCAAGCUAUGGGUGUAAUAAAAUUCCAAAACGCGAUAUUAUUAUUAUUCAUUUAUAAAUGGUUGCUGAAAUUACGUAGUUAAUCUAGUUAAUUUUUGAUGAUAACUGUCAAUAUUUUCUGAAUCCACAAAGUUUUUUUUUAAAUCAUGCAUGUUGUGUUAUAUGCAAGUAGCUUACUCCUUUGUCGAUCUUCUUCUUCUUAUUUUUUUUCGGCUAAUGGGUAUGGAGGGUGGUUCUCUAUUCAUUUACGUAUAUUCGAGGGGCUUAUGUAUUUUUUUUUAAUUUCUAGCAUGUGACUCAUUACUGGUGAUGAUGAUAAAAAGGCCGAACUGACAGCUACCCUGAAUUACUUCUGUAGUUUCUGUUGGUGGUAGAAAGAUGCAGCUUGCUGUUAAGGCUUUCAGGCUACUUGUUCCAGUUGCAAGGGUUGGGCAGAUCGUAUAGUGGUUAUGUUAUAUUGCGUAACUUUGCCAGUGUUACCCUUGAGUACCCUUGAGUUUUUCAAGAGUUGACGAGAUCUGGUCAAAUAUUUCACAGUUUUUUAUUUAACCUUUAAAAUAGAUAUAUUGCUGUGUUUGUUGAAUAUCCUACUUUUUCCUUUAAUUUUACUGAUAGUUGUAUCUUAUUUUAUUUAGUUUUGUUUGUUCUUCUCAACACUAUUUUCUUCAUCCAAACAUAUCAAUUUUUAAAUAAUGGAAUUUAAUAGCUACUGCAUCAUAUUUUGUACAAAUAUCACAAAUGGCUUUCAUAACGUAGAGUCAGUAAAAGGCAUAAUCCUCAAGAAAGACUUGUUUCUUUGUACCUCUGUUUCUGUGUGUACGGUUUACAAACAGAAAAUGCUUUCUUUUUUUCUUGAUUUCUCUUGUUAUCAUGUACAAGAAACUAAUUCCCCCUUUGUGCUGUUUAUUUCUUUAUUUAUUGAGAUACACUAUGCUAUAUAAUUGGAAAGUCAUUCGAUAUGAUCUAGGUUAUGUGCUUGAGGCAGAAGAUUAAUAAGGUUAUAUCUUUGUUUGUUUGUUUGUGGGCACUGUUAGCUUUCUUGCUCACUCUUAUGUUACCCAAGUAAUUGGAGAGGAGAGCAGUUUAAUUUCUUGGUCAUUUCUCUUUUUGUUCCUUUUCUUUCGAGUGGAUUAGGGAUUAGUUAAUGGAUGUGGGAUUUGUUACUGGUGAUGAUGGCAUAAAGACCAAACUUAUGCCUCGUUUAGUACGUGGGAAUCGGAUCAAGUUAGGAUGGAAUGGAGCAAGGAACGAAAUGGAAUGAAUCCUCAUUUUCAUUCUCAUUCUCAUGAUUGGGUGCAUUUAGAGAAUGAAGUGAGAAUGAAAAUCUUUUCAUUUUUGGUGUGGAUAAUUAAUAAGUAAUUUGAGAAUAUUUAGUAUGAAUUUAAUAUUUCCAUUCCCACUUAAGUGAGAAGCAUUUCAUACCAAUUCAUUGGACAUGCCCAUUCCCACGAAAUGUAAAAAAAGUGGAGUGGACAUUCUAGCUUCCAAAAGUAUGGUGUGCUUGGUGUGCAUGAAUGAAAUGUGGGAAUAAGCAUUCCAUUUCUUCUCAUUCCUGUGUACCAAAUGAGGCCUUAUAGCUAUCCUGAAAUUUUAUUCAUUUUGGCUAUUUUGCAUAUAUACCCCCUUAACUCAUUUGCUGAUUUACCUCAAAUCUAUAUAUUUGCUAAUUUAUCUCCUAAAUCUCCCAUGUAAUAUGAAAAAAGUCUACUGUUUCAGUUGGCGGUAGAAUGAUGUGGCUGGCUAUAAAGGUUAAUAUCUGAACCAAUUGUGGCCAGAGGCUGUGGUUGACUUGUCUCCUUGUUUUGUUGCAAUGUUCGGUGGGAAACAAGAAUUUAAAAUAUGAUGGAUGCUUUGUUAUUGUUCUUAAUAUAAACUUGUUCAACCAAGUUGGUUCAGAUUGCUAGUGUUGUGCAGAAAAGUCGUACACUUCAUUUUCUCUUAUUAUCAUGUAUAGGUGUCAGGUGAAAUGAAUCUUGUGUUGUAUUUUUAAUACUAUCAAUUUGAUUGCCUUCACUUGUAAACUAUUACAUCUUACUUUUGUUUUUAAGCUGUGAAAUAUUCUGACAUGUUUCAGAUUCGAGUU